This is a non-coding RNA of Phascolarctos cinereus (koala), 1007 nucleotides long. Lineage: Eukaryota; Metazoa; Chordata; Mammalia; Diprotodontia; Phascolarctidae. The record is from RefSeq and is a predicted model, not a curated record.
UCAAGAACCCUGAAUUUUAUUAGGGGAGAGAACAUGGACACCAAUAAGCAAAUUUAAAAAAUAAAUAAAUAUAAAGUAAUUGAAAAUUAAUUUCUGUGGAUAGCAGAAGGGAAGAAUUUACAACUUGCAUGUGAGAGAGAGAGAUUGAGAAAGGUUUCAUAUAGGAGAUGGCACUUGAACUGAGCUUUUAAUGGAGCUGAAGAUUCCAUAGAGGUGAUGAGGGAAAUCACUACUGGCAUGGGAAACUGCCAAUAUAAGGACACAGAGGAAAUGUAGCACUCAAGUGUUCUUAUGAGGUUGUGACCUGGUACAAUGAUGAUCAGAACAUCUAGCACAUGGGAGGAACAAAGCCAAAAGGAGAAUUUCCCAGAACCUGAGACAUGCAUAGAACCCACACAGGAUUUCUAAACUGUCUGGACUUUGGGAAAUUGUCUGGCAGCCGUAUAAAUGAAGAAUUGGAGGAUAGAGAGCCUGGAGACAGAGAAGAAAUCAAAGAUAACACUUUCUAUGAUGAAUUUUGGGGGCAGAAGUGAAAUUCACCAGAUUAUUACCAUCUGCCCCCUAGAAUUACUGAAGAGGAGGCCUGGUUAGAAAACCACAGAGGACUGAAUGGCGAGAAUCUCUUAUCAAGUCAUGCCUGCCCAUCCUGUGUAACUUUCACGCAUGUCUUCCCACAAAUUCACCUCGGUGAGGUUUGAACAAUAUCCUGGGGGCCUUCUUCAAGUACUAUUAACAAUACUUGCACCAGUGGAGCGAACAAGUAUCCAUUAUUAACCAUUAUUAUGUGGCUACUUAUUUAUAUAUUGUUUUCCUCAUCAAAAUAAAUUAUCACGAAAUGAAGGAUCCUUUCUUUGGAUUGCCAGUGUUUAAUGCCAUGUCUGGCACAUAAAAUGCAUUUUUAAAAAAUUUUCAUUGAGUGACUGGGAAAAUUUUGUUGUUAUUGUCUAUUACUUUAAUGUCAUCAUUCAUUCCACUUCUCCUGUGUAAUUGCUUUUCGUUUUUUGUUU